UCCGUAGGCGGAAAAUUAAGUCAGUGGUGAAAUCCUGCAGCUUAACUGUAGAACUGUCAUUGAUACUGGUUUUCUUGAAUUUAGUUGAGGUAGGCGGAAUGUGUAAUGUAGCGGUGAAAUGCUUAGAUAUUACACAGAACACCGAUUGCGAAGGCAGCUUACUAAGCUAUGAUUGACGCUGAGGUACGAAAGCGUGGGGAGCGAACAGGAUUAGAUACCCUGGUAGUCC
RNAcentral lists this ribosomal RNA (229 nucleotides) under uncultured bacterium. RNAcentral's name for it is "partial 16S ribosomal RNA". It matches the Rfam family "Bacterial small subunit ribosomal RNA", at positions 568 to 796 of the family's 1533-position model. The record is from RNAcentral.